AUUGAACGCUGGCGGCAGGCCUAACACAUGCAAGUCGAGCGGAUGAAGGGAGCUUGCUCCUGGAUUCAGCGGCGGACGGGUGAGUAAUGCCUAGGAAUCUGCCUGGUAUUGGGGGAUAACGUCCUCAAACGGGCGCUAAUACUGCAUGCGUCCUGCGGCAGCAAGUGGGGGAUCUUCGGACCGCACGCUAUCAGGUGAGCCUAGGUCGGUUUAGCUAGUUGGUGGGUUGAUGGCCUACCUAGCCGAGGAUUCGCGACUGGUCGGUGAGGGUGAUCACUCACAUGAGAAGGUAGACACGGACAAUGGUACUACGGGAGGCAGCAGUGGGGAACAUUGGACAGUGGUCGAAAGUCUGAUCCAGUCAUGCGGCGUGUGAGAAGAAGGUCUUCGGAGUGUAAAGACCGUUAUGGUGGGAGGAAGGGCAGUAAGUUAAUACCUUGCUUUUGUGACGGUACUGACAGAAUAAGCACCGGCUAACUACGUG
RNAcentral lists this ribosomal RNA (484 nucleotides) under uncultured bacterium. RNAcentral's name for it is "partial 16S ribosomal RNA". It matches the Rfam family "Bacterial small subunit ribosomal RNA", at positions 30 to 507 of the family's 1533-position model. The record is from RNAcentral.